This 240-nucleotide unclassified non-coding RNA is filed under the name soil metagenome. Its description in RNAcentral is "partial contains 5.8S ribosomal RNA, internal transcribed spacer 2, and large subunit ribosomal RNA". The record is from RNAcentral.
AACCAUAGAAACCUGCGGAGUACCUGCGGAGGGAUCAUUAUAGUAUAUGGAAUCUCCAUUCUAUAAACCCACUCUGCGUAUCUUGUAACUGUUGCUUCCAUGGGACUUGGUUCCGCCACACCGGCUUCACGGCUAGUGAGCGCCCAUGGAAGGAGAAACAAAACUCUUCUUUGAAAUGUAGUCAGUCUGAACAAGUUUUUAUAAACGUUAAAACUUUUAGCAACGGAUCUCAGAUCGGAA